CCAGACUCCUACGGGAGGCAGCAGUGGGGAAUAUUGCACAAUGGGGGAAACCCUGAUGCAGCGACGCCGCGUGAGCGAUGAGGUAUUUCGGUAUGUAAAGCUCUAUCAGCAGGGAAGAAAAUGACGGUACCUGAAGAAGAAGCCCCGGCUGACUACGUGCCAGCAGCCGCGGUAAUACGUAGGGGGCAAGCGUUAUCCGGAUUUACUGGGUGUAAAGGGGGCGCAGACGGCGAUGCAAGCCAGGAGUGAAAGCCCGGGGCCCAACCCCGGGACUGCUCUUGGAACUGCGUGGCUGGAGUGCAGGAGGGGCAGGCGGAAUUCCUGGUGUAGCGGUGAAAUGCGUAGAUAUUAGGAGGAACACCAGUGGCGAAGGCGACUUUCUGGACUGUACCUGACGCUGAGGCGCGAAAGCGUGGGUAGCGAACGGGAUUAGAUACCCGAGUAC
RNAcentral lists this ribosomal RNA (445 nucleotides) under uncultured bacterium. RNAcentral describes it as "bacterial SSU rRNA". It matches the Rfam family "Bacterial small subunit ribosomal RNA", at positions 331 to 793 of the family's 1533-position model. The record is from RNAcentral.